GCUGUGAUGAAUUUAAUUGCAGUGAUCAUCUGAAAUGAUCAUUUUGUCCUCUAAGAAGUUCUGAGCUU
This is a small nucleolar RNA of Artibeus jamaicensis (Jamaican fruit-eating bat), 68 nucleotides long. RefSeq annotates it as small nucleolar RNA SNORD61. The transcript has a single exon. The record is from RefSeq and is a predicted model, not a curated record. Lineage: Eukaryota; Metazoa; Chordata; Mammalia; Chiroptera; Phyllostomidae.